Molecule: transfer RNA, 73 nt
Filed under: Kordia algicida OT-1
Lineage: Bacteria; Pseudomonadati; Bacteroidota; Flavobacteriia; Flavobacteriales; Flavobacteriaceae
Description: tRNA-Met
Rfam family: tRNA
About the family: Transfer RNA (tRNA) molecules are approximately 80 nucleotides in length. Their secondary structure includes four short double-helical elements and three loops (D, anti-codon, and T loops). Further hydrogen bonds mediate the characteristic L-shaped molecular structure. tRNAs have two regions of fundamental functional importance: the anti-codon, which is responsible for specific mRNA codon recognition, and the 3' end, to which the tRNAs corresponding amino acid is attached (by aminoacyl-tRNA synthetases). tRNAs cope with the degeneracy of the genetic code in two manners: having more than one tRNA (with a specific anti-codon) for a particular amino acid; and 'wobble' base-pairing, i.e. permitting non-standard base-pairing at the 3rd anti-codon position.
Source: RNAcentral
AGCGAUAUAGCUUAAUUGGUAAAGCACUGGUCUCAUAAGCCAGAAGUUGAAAGUUCGAUUCUUUCUAUCACUA